This 756-nucleotide non-coding RNA is filed under the name Arisubathynella cheongmiensis. The record is from RNAcentral. Lineage: Eukaryota; Metazoa; Arthropoda; Malacostraca; Bathynellacea; Parabathynellidae.
UUAUUUAGUUUUGGUAAAUACAUAAUAACUAUUUUUAUUUUUCAUAUACACUCACAGAUAUAAUUUAAUUUUAUAUUAUAGUGUUAAAUAUUAAAUAAGUAUUAUAAGAUACUAUAGAAAUAAAAUAAAAAAUUUAGUAUAACUUAGUGCCAGCAACUGCGGUUAGACUAUAUAAUUUAGAUAUUAUUUAAUAUUAAGAUAUAAAUUAUAAUUAGAAUGAAUGAAUAUUUUAAAAUUUUAUUGGUAAAAUAUUAACAAUUAUUAUUAUUUUCUUUAUAAAAUUAAUAUAGUAUAUAAAAGAUUAAAAUAGGAUUAGAUACCCUAGUAUUUUUUAUUUAUACAAUAUCUAUAGUUAGUAUCAGUUACAAAUGUAAAAUCUAAAAAACUUGACGGUAUUUUAUUUAAUUAGAGGAAUCUGUUUGUUUAACGAUACACCACGAAGUAUUCUACUUAUAUUUAUAUAUUUAUAUUUUUAUACCGUUAUUUGAAGAAUUCUUUUAUUAAAGAAUACUAGAAAUUAAUUAAAUAGAAAUUAAAUCAAGGUGAAAUUUUAUAUGAGAUGAAUAAUGGAUUACACUAAGUAAGUACUUAAAUUAGAGAACGAAUUUUAUGUAAUUUCGAGCAAAAAAGAAUUUAUAAGUAUAAUAUUACAAAAACUUUUAUAUUUGAAUUAACUAUAAAAUAUGUACAAAUCGCCCGUCGCUCUCUUAUUGAGAUAAGUCGUAACAAAGUAAAGUUAACGGAAGAUAAUUUUAG